UUGUUUUUUUUUUUUUUUUUUUUAAAGAAUGUAGAACUUACUCUAGAAUACAAUAAAAAGGUAUUAGGCACUUGCUUUUGGUUUCAUAGUAUAUCCUUGUUGACAUCUAUUCUAAAGUCUGAAUUCCUGAACUCAUGCACACAAAGUAUAUUCACUGUUCAAAAGAGAAUUUCAAUCUUUCCUAAACGUGCAAAAUUAAGCCUUAAGUAAACCUGUGAUACACAAGGUUGAAUUUCAAAUGUGUCCCCUAAAAGACUUUAUUUCAGAUGAGAACGGAGCCCUUUGCCAAUCCUGGGAGUGAACAGACACGGUCUUUACCUACUUUCAUAAGAUAAGGAGACAGGAGAAACACCCACUUAAGAGAACAAUGAUGGGGGGCUAGAUUGUGUUCUGUCAACUUUGAAGAGGAAGAAAACCUCACUCUUCUCCCCCAAUGCUCCCUUUAGAGAGAGUUCACUGCAGCUCUUAAAGAGCAGAAAACUGAACAGGAUUAGUAUUCUAACACAGUCAAGAAAACAAGUGACUGGGGAACCGUGAAUUUUGGGU
RNAcentral lists this long non-coding RNA (546 nucleotides) under Rattus norvegicus (Norway rat). RNAcentral's name for it is "long non-coding RNA NONRATT019844". The record is from RNAcentral. Lineage: Eukaryota; Metazoa; Chordata; Mammalia; Rodentia; Muridae.